UUACGGCCAUAUCCCUUUGAAGCACCGGUUCCCGUACGAUCCCGAAGUUAAGCAACAUCGAGCCGGAUCAGGCCCUAGAUGGGUGAUCGCUUUGGAAUAUC
This is a non-coding RNA of Acanthosepion pharaonis, 101 nucleotides long. The record is from the annotation of a GenBank genome assembly. Lineage: Eukaryota; Metazoa; Mollusca; Cephalopoda; Sepiida; Sepiidae.